This 465-nucleotide ribosomal RNA is filed under the name uncultured bacterium. Its description in RNAcentral is "bacterial SSU rRNA". It matches the Rfam family "Bacterial small subunit ribosomal RNA", at positions 329 to 792 of the family's 1533-position model. The record is from RNAcentral.
UUCCAGACUCCUACGGGAGGCAGCAGUGAGGAAUAUUGGUCAAUGGGCGAGAGCCUGAACCAGCCAAGUCGCGUGAGGGAAGACGGUCCUAUGGAUUGUAAACCUCUUUUGCCGGGGAGCAAAAAGCGGUACGUGUACCGCAUCGAGAGUACCCGGAGAAAAAGCAUCGGCUAACUCCGUGCCAGCAGCCGCGGUAAUACGGAGGAUGCGAGCGUUAUCCGGAUUUAUUGGGUUUAAAGGGUGCGCAGGCGGAGGUGCAAGUCAGCGGUCAAAUUGCGGGGCUCAACCCCGUACUGCCGUUGAAACUGCAUCCCUUGAGUGCGCGAGAAGUAUGCGGAAUGCGUGGUGUAGCGGUGAAAUGCAUAGAUAUCACGCAGAACUCCGAUUGCGAAGGCAGCAUACCGGCGCGCAACUGACGCUCAUGCACGAAAGCGUGGGUAUCGAACAGGAUUAGAUACCCGAGUA